Erinaceus europaeus (western European hedgehog) is the source of this 1036-nucleotide long non-coding RNA. RefSeq lists it as uncharacterized. The record is from RefSeq and is a predicted model, not a curated record. The transcript is spliced from 5 exons. NCBI's taxonomy places the organism in Eukaryota, Metazoa, Chordata, Mammalia, Eulipotyphla, Erinaceidae.
UCACUAGGAAGGGUAGUGACCAGAGCAGGCAAGCCUGUCUGGUUGCCUUGGACACUUACUGAAAGAGGCUGGAGUUGUUGAUCAACCUGCCCAGGCCUCAUUUUCCCUCCUGAAAGCAGGAAGUCAUCCAUUGAACAAGCAACUCUUGUGUCCUUGUAUAAAGUCAACAUUUUCAAGCACUUCUCUACUGAGUUGCUCAUCCAACCUGCUGACCUUUGCAAGUAGCUCCAGUUUGCUUAAUGCUGGCCUUGACCUAUCUUCAAGACAGAAAUAGUUUCCUCUUCUCUCUCUCUUCCGAUCAAAGAAGGACAGAAAUUGAAAUGGGAAGAAUGAUUAAUGAAGCUGAAAAAUGUCAGCUCAGAGAGGUGAAGCCCUACUGAUGUCGAAAAGAAAGAGAAGAAACAGAAGGAAAAAGAGAACAUAACACAGCAGCUCCCCUCAAUAUGUUGGGGUCCAGGUUGGAAUCCGGGUGGAGCACAUGAGAAAGCAGACACCCUCCCAGCCACCAGGUUCCAGAUGCUAACAUGAUGCCAAACAGACUUCCCUGGACAGAAGACCCCACCAAUGUGUCCUGGAGCCCAGCUUCCCCAGAGUCCCGCCCCACUAGGGAAAGAGAGAGACAGGCUGGGAGUAUGGAUCGACCUGUCAACGCUCAUGUUCAGCGGAGAAGCAAUUAGAGAAGCCAGACCUUCCACCUUCUGCAUCCCACAAUGACCUUGGGUCCAUACUCCCAGAGGGUUAAAGAAUAGGAAAGCUAUCAGGGGAUGGGAUGGGAUACGGAGUUCUGGUGGUGGGAAUUGUGUGGAGUUUUACCCCUCUUUUUUUUUUUUUCCUCCUCCAGGGUUAUUGCUGGGCUCGGUGCCUGCACCAUGAAUCCACCGCUCCUGGAGGCCAUUUUUUUCCCCUUUUGUUGCCCUUGUUGUAGCUUCGUUGUGGUUAUUAUUAUUGCCCUUGUUGACGCAAUUCGUUGUUGGAUAGGACAGAGAGAAAUGGAGAGAGGAGGGGAAGACAGAGAAGGGGAGAGAAAGAUAGACAC